AAAACUGACAUGACUUCUUCUACUGGAGAUAAAAACACUUGUGUGCACGGAGAUCACCUUUGGCUUAAAACUUAAAGCUUAAAAACCACAACUUAGCGAUGAAGAUGUAGCCU
Etheostoma cragini (Arkansas darter) is the source of this 113-nucleotide long non-coding RNA. RefSeq lists it as uncharacterized. NCBI's taxonomy places the organism in Eukaryota, Metazoa, Chordata, Actinopteri, Perciformes, Percidae. The transcript has 4 exons. The record is from RefSeq and is a predicted model, not a curated record.